GUAUUCCUUAUCUGUUAUCUAUUUUAUAUGGUUAUGUGGAGCCUAUCUUCCCAGUGCUUUCUUCAUACGAUUGUCUUCAUGACAGUGAAAACAACAGGAAGAUAGGCCCUAAUGUAGUUGCCGCUUUACUUC
RNAcentral lists this small RNA (132 nucleotides) under Providencia alcalifaciens. RNAcentral's name for it is "tp2". It matches the Rfam family "tp2". Lineage: Bacteria; Pseudomonadati; Pseudomonadota; Gammaproteobacteria; Enterobacterales; Morganellaceae. The record is from RNAcentral.